GGGGAAUUUUGGACAAUGGGCGCAAGCCUGAUCCAGCCAUUCCGCGUGCAGGACGAAGGCCUUCGGGUUGUAAACUGCUUUUGUACGGAACGAAAAGCCCUUCUCUAAUACAGAGGGGUCAUGACGGUACCGUAAGAAUAAGCACCGGCUAACUACGUGCCAGCAGCCGCGGUAAUACGUAGGGUGCAAGCGUUAAUCGGAAUUACUGGGCGUAAAGCGUGCGCAGGCGGUUUUGUAAGACAGAGGUGAAAUCCCCGGGCUCAACCUGGGAACUGCCUUUGUGACUGCAAGGCUGGAGUGCGGCAGAGGGGGAUGGAAUUCCGCGUGUAGCAGUGAAAUGCGUAGAUAUGCGGAGGAACACCGAUGGCGAAGGCAAUCCCCUGGGCCUGCACUGACGCUCAUGCACGAAAGCGUGGGGAGCAAAC
Molecule: ribosomal RNA, 425 nt
Filed under: uncultured bacterium
Lineage: Bacteria
Description: bacterial SSU rRNA
Rfam family: Bacterial small subunit ribosomal RNA
Source: RNAcentral